RNAcentral lists this non-coding RNA (21 nucleotides) under Caenorhabditis elegans. The record is from RNAcentral. Lineage: Eukaryota; Metazoa; Nematoda; Chromadorea; Rhabditida; Rhabditidae.
UGAAUCUGGGUUCCUCGGGUU